GGCUUCGUAGCUCAGUUGGUACAGAGCUUGUCGCGUUUGGGCACGCUGUUUCUGUUGCUGGUUCGAAUCCAAGUCAAAGCCU
Molecule: non-coding RNA, 82 nt
Organism: Paragonimus kellicotti
Lineage: Eukaryota; Metazoa; Platyhelminthes; Trematoda; Plagiorchiida; Troglotrematidae
Source: the annotation of a GenBank genome assembly